ACCUUGGUGGCGUAGUGGUAGCACGCGUCCCCGGUAUGGAUGAAACGCGGGUUCGGCUCCAGUUUGAGGUC
This is a non-coding RNA of Parelaphostrongylus tenuis, 71 nucleotides long. Lineage: Eukaryota; Metazoa; Nematoda; Chromadorea; Rhabditida; Metastrongylidae. The record is from the annotation of a GenBank genome assembly.